RNAcentral lists this ribosomal RNA (1646 nucleotides) under Escherichia coli. RNAcentral describes it as "partial 23S ribosomal RNA". It matches the Rfam family "Bacterial large subunit ribosomal RNA", at positions 1290 to 2915 of the family's 2925-position model. The record is from RNAcentral. Lineage: Bacteria; Pseudomonadati; Pseudomonadota; Gammaproteobacteria; Enterobacterales; Enterobacteriaceae.
GCGAAUGCUGACAUAAGUAACGAUAAAGCGGGUGAAAAGCCCGCUCGCCGGAAGACCAAGGGUUCCUGUCCAACGUUAAUCGGGGCAGGGUGAGUCGACCCCUAAGGCGAGGCCGAAAGGCGUAGUCGAUGGGAAACAGGUUAAUAUUCCUGUACUUGGUGUUACUGCGAAGGGGGGACGGAGAAGGCUAUGUUGGCCGGGCGACGGUUGUCCCGGUUUAAGCGUGUAGGCUGGUUUUCCAGGCAAAUCCGGAAAAUCAAGGCUGAGGCGUGAUGACGAGGCACUACGGUGCUGAAGCAACAAAUGCCCUGCUUCCAGGAAAAGCCUCUAAGCAUCAGGUAACAUCAAAUCGUACCCCAAACCGACACAGGUGGUCAGGUAGAGAAUACCAAGGCGCUUGAGAGAACUCGGGUGAAGGAACUAGGCAAAAUGGUGCCGUAACUUCGGGAGAAGGCACGCUGAUAUGUAGGUGAAGUCCCUCGCGGAUGGAGCUGAAAUCAGUCGAAGAUACCAGCUGGCUGCAACUGUUUAUUAAAAACACAGCACUGUGCAAACACGAAAGUGGACGUAUACGGUGUGACGCCUGCCCGGUGCCGGAAGGUUAAUUGAUGGGGUCAGCGCAAGCGAAGCUCUUGAUCGAAGCCCCGGUAAACGGCGGCCGUAACUAUAACGGUCCUAAGGUAGCGAAAUUCCUUGUCGGGUAAGUUCCGACCUGCACGAAUGGCGUAAUGAUGGCCAGGCUGUCUCCACCCGAGACUCAGUGAAAUUGAACUCGCUGUGAAGAUGCAGUGUACCCGCGGCAAGACGGAAAGACCCCGUGAACCUUUACUAUAGCUUGACACUGAACAUUGAGCCUUGAUGUGUAGGAUAGGUGGGAGGCUUUGAAGUGUGGACGCCAGUCUGCAUGGAGCCGGCCUUGAAAUACCACCCUUUAAUGUUUGAUGUUCUAACGUUGACCCGUGAUCCGGGUUGCGGACAGUGUCUGGUGGGUAGUUUGACUGGGGCGGUCUCCUCCUAAAGAGUAACGGAGGAGCACGAAGGUUGGCUAAUCCUGGUCGGACAUCAGGAGGUUAGUGCAAUGGCAUAAGCCAGCUUGACUGCGAGCGUGACGGCGCGAGCAGGUGCGAAAGCAGGUCAUAGUGAUCCGGUGGUUCUGAAUGGAAGGGCCAUCGCUCAACGGAUAAAAGGUACUCCGGGGAUAACAGGCUGAUACCGCCCAAGAGUUCAUAUCGACGGCGGUGUUUGGCACCUCGAUGUCGGCUCAUCACAUCCUGGGGCUGAAGUAGGUCCCAAGGGUAUGGCUGUUCGCCAUUUAAAGUGGUACGCGAGCUGGGUUUAGAACGUCGUGAGACAGUUCGGUCCCUAUCUGCCGUGGGCGCUGGAGAACUGAGGGGGGCUGCUCCUAGUACGAGAGGACCGGAGUGGACGCAUCACUGGUGUUCGGGUUGUCAUGCCAAUGGCACUGCCCGGUAGCUAAAUGCGGAAGAGAUAAGUGCUGAAAGCAUCUAAGCACGAAACUUGCCCCGAGAUGAGUUCUCCCUGACUCCUUGAGAGUCCUGAAGGAACGUUGAAGACGACGACGUUGAUAGGCCGGGUGUGUAAGCGCAGCGAUGCGUUGAGCUAACCGGUACUAAUGAACCGUGAGG